CAUGGAGAUGAUCCUCGCAUUUUGAAUGGAUGGUUAGAUCGAUAAUGCUCAAAUUAAGAUAUUCUAUCCAUGCAGCUGAUAUCUAUGGUAUUUUUUCAAAAGAGUAUGAUGUCAUUGUUGAUAAAAGUUAUUUAAGCUACUACUAUUCAAGUAGGACUGUCAACGAGUUGAACACGAGCGAGUUGAGGCCAACUCAUGUUCAGUUCAUUUACUAAACAUGCAAAACACGCCUACCUCGUAAAAUAUCGAGCUGAAAAUUUAUGCUUGUGUUCGGCUUCGCGAACGAUAAGUUAGAUCAUCGAUCAAUCCUACUACAUAUAUUAGGUGAAAAGUUGAAAGAGAAUUAAAAAAAUGGAAUCUUAUUCUAAUAAUUAAAAUUCAAAUUUGAGUUGGCCUACAAUUCAAACAGUAAAAUAGUAUUGAUUUAAAGGCCAAUAGCGAGAGGAUUGAUUUAAAGAUAAAAAGGUUAGAAGUAAAAAAAAGGAGUAAUACAACUAUAUAUAUUGAGCCGAACACACGAAUAAGCUGAUUUCAGCUCGUGUGCAGCUCGUUAAGAUUUCAAGCUGAAAAAUUUAGUUCACGUUCGGAUCGUUUAUUAAACAAGCGAUCGAUGUCAAGCUGAUCAUUUCGAGUUGAAUAUAAGUUGACUCGUAAACAAUAAGCUAGAUUGCCAGUCUUAUAUUCAAGUGGCGAUUAAUCUUAUCCUUGUAGUAUUAUU
RNAcentral lists this long non-coding RNA (718 nucleotides) under Ananas comosus (pineapple). Its description in RNAcentral is "long non-coding RNA (ACOM_LNC019343)". Lineage: Eukaryota; Viridiplantae; Streptophyta; Magnoliopsida; Poales; Bromeliaceae. The record is from RNAcentral.